AUACGGUCAAAUCACGCUGAAACACCGGUUCUCGUACGAUCACCGAAGUUAAGCAGCGUAGAGCCAGGUCAGUACUUAGAUGGGGGACCAGUUGGGAACACCUGGUACUGUAAG
This 114-nucleotide ribosomal RNA is filed under the name Acanthosepion pharaonis. Lineage: Eukaryota; Metazoa; Mollusca; Cephalopoda; Sepiida; Sepiidae. The record is from RNAcentral.